This 366-nucleotide ribosomal RNA is filed under the name uncultured Clavulina. Its description in RNAcentral is "eukaryotic LSU rRNA". The stretch from base 1 to 71 matches the Rfam family "5.8S ribosomal RNA", at positions 84 to 154 of the family's 154-position model. The record is from RNAcentral. Lineage: Eukaryota; Fungi; Basidiomycota; Agaricomycetes; Cantharellales; Hydnaceae. RNAcentral also lists the same sequence under 1 other name.
GUGAGUCAUCGAAUCUUUGAACGCACCUUGCGCUCCUUGGUAUUCCGAGGAGCACGCCUGUUCGAGUGUCGUGAAUUCUCAAGCUGGAUAGCUUUAUUGUUAUCUCAGUUUGGUUUUGGGCUUUGCCGUCUCCUCUUUUGUGAACGGCUGGCCUUAAAAGUAUUAGCUGACCCUUGUUUGUGGGAUUGGUUCUACUCAGCGUGAUAAUUUAUGACCGCUGAGGACAUCUUUCGGGAUGGCCAGCUCUGCCUUGGAUCGCUUCUAAUCCUGGUAUUUGGAGUCCGCUCCUUAUCCUUAACUUUUUCAACUUUGACCUCGAAUCAGGUGGGACUACCCGCUGAACUUAAGCAUAUCAAUAAGCGGAGG